RNAcentral lists this non-coding RNA (23 nucleotides) under Cricetulus griseus (Chinese hamster). The record is from RNAcentral. Lineage: Eukaryota; Metazoa; Chordata; Mammalia; Rodentia; Cricetidae.
UUGACAUUUACCCUGUUAAUAGG